RNAcentral lists this ribosomal RNA (492 nucleotides) under uncultured bacterium. RNAcentral's name for it is "partial 16S ribosomal RNA". It matches the Rfam family "Bacterial small subunit ribosomal RNA", at positions 29 to 507 of the family's 1533-position model. The record is from RNAcentral.
AGUGAACGCUGGCGGUAGGCCUAACACAUGCAAGUCGAACGGCAGCACAGUAAGAGCUUGCUCUUACGGGUGGCGAGUGGAGGACGGGUGAGGAAUACAUCGGAAUCUACUUUUUCGUGGGGGAUAACGUAGGGAAACUUACGCUAAUACCGCAUACGACCUACGGGUGAAAGCAGGGGAUCUUCGGACCUUGCGCGAUUGAAUGAGCCGAUGUCGGAUUAGCUAGUUGGCGGGGUAAAGGCCCACCAAGGCGACGAUCCGUAGCUGGUCUGAGAGGAUGAUCAGCCACACUAGAACUGAGACACGGUCCAGACUCCUACGGGAGCCAGCAGUGGGGAAUAUUGGACAAUGGGCGCAAGCCUGAUCCAGCCAUACCGCGUGGGUGAAGAAGGCCUUCGAGUUGUAAAGCCCUUUUGUUGGGAAAGAAAAGCAGCAGGUUAAUACCCCGCUGUUCUGACGGUACCCAAAGAAUAAGCACCGGCUAACUUCGUG